GUAGUGUAGGCGUCCACACGGUGCACGAUUCUGCCCCUCCACGCCCGCCCCUACCUCUGUGACCCCCUUCCCUCGCCCCCCGACCGAGAUCCCCGCCGGCAAAUCCGACCGCCAUCCUCCUCCUCCGCCUCCCUUCCAUCCUAGCCCGCCUCUUCCAUACUCCUCCCCGCAUCCCUUCCAUCCUCGUCUGUACUCCUCCCCGCGUCCACAGUGGAUACCGUGAGCUCGCCCCCGCCUCCAUGGCUCCAUCCUCCGCUCGCGAUUCCCCCGUGCCCGUUGCGCCUGCCUCCUCCCGCCCCGUCCUCCGCACCUGCCCCCUACCCUAGACCUCGCGCUCGCCGCUGUCACCAUCAAGGCGCUAUGAUGCUACCCCCGGUCGAGAUAGCCUCUCGAGCAUCGAGGUGGUGGUCGAAUCGAUGGAGGUUGUGCCCCCACCGCUCGUCUCCUGCUCGCCUCCUCGCCUAGCUGCAUCCGUCCCUCGCCCAACCACUUCUCCUCUCUUGUCUUGCUCGUCACGGAUGUCGUCCUCGUCGUGGCGCACGCGAUUGCUGUAGCAGCUGUCGAACAGUCUCGGUUCCUCAUCCCUGGCCGGGUUUCAUUUGGAUUGCGCAGCAGCAACAUGGCAACUACGUCAUCGCGAGGCGACAUCUCCACCGCGAAAAACACUGCAAGCCAUCCACGAUCUCGAGCUGACGAACAAAGCGAUUUACUGGAGCUGACGACGGAAGCAGCACAAGGAAUAGGAACGAUGCGGGUUCACCAGAGCGGACGACAGAGACAACAGGAGGCAGAAGAACCAGGUGUGAAGAACCAAGACAGAGGGGAGGUGGGAAAGAGGAAUGGAGUGACAAGAACGAGGAUGGAGAGCGUCGGCUGCAAACCCGUAGAGGCGAAGAGAACGAGAGUCGUCCCCACAAAGGCAAACAUCAGCUAGAACAAUCCUGAGAUAGAUGGUCGUGGAGCAAUGUAAGAUGUCCAUGAAUGAUCGUACGUGUGUUAAUAAUUCGGCAGACAUGGAUAGCUUCUUAGGCGGCAUUUCCGUUCCGCUUUAAUAAUAAGGAAAAGGAAAUGUAUGGUACUAUAAUGUAGAAGGUGUGGUGUUUGCUUUCUCUAUGUCUGUCGUA
This is a long non-coding RNA of Zea mays, 1124 nucleotides long. RefSeq lists it as uncharacterized. NCBI's taxonomy places the organism in Eukaryota, Viridiplantae, Streptophyta, Magnoliopsida, Poales, Poaceae. The transcript is spliced from 3 exons. The record is from RefSeq and is a predicted model, not a curated record.